AAGCCCAUUCCUUCUGUGAGCGUGCAAGACAACUUCAUCAACGCAGACCAACACAACUUCUGCUAAGUAAUAAGUUCGUGCAAAGAACAGAACAACGUAUCGAGUCUAAAAGGAGAGCCGCGCUGGUCAAUGCAGAAGGAGGGGGGGUGUCAGUCAGCGUGCGUGAACUUAGAAGAAUUUGUUUUAAAAUCGUCUGCAUAGCUUGGCUUUCUGCUGAGAGAAGUUCCAGACCGUUCUUAAAACAAAACGCACCCAAACGCAUUCCGGAACAACUGGAUAGAUCUUCCAGCUCUGACCCCCAUCCAUCCCAGAGCCAUGGGAGUGAAAGGGUUGCACUGCUUUCCCUGGUACAGCCGCUGGAAGGAGAGAAGCAAGGAGGCUCAUCGGAACAGGCUGCGAGAACGGCCCGCGGGAAAAACGAGGCUGUCGUCGACGCAGUCAGUCAGCAGCGAGGGCGACUCACAGAGCCACCGGGCCUACUUCAGCAGGAAGGCCCACGUAUCCUUCCGCCACGAGAUGGACUCCCCUGUGGCGAUCAUCGACUCCACUAACUGAGGACGACCCCAACCCCAACCCCGAGGACGACCCUCAACCCCAACCCCAACCCCAACCCCAACCCGAGGACGACCCUCAACCCCAACCCCAACCCCAACCCCGAGGACGACCCUCAACCCCAACCCCAACCCGAGGACGACCCUCAACCCCAACCCCAACCCCAACCCCCAACUCCGGAGAGGACAGCUCAAACCCCAGCACCAGCACUGCGAAUUACCCAAGGCCUUAAAUGGAACAGUGUGUGCGCCCCUUACCAGAGAGGGAGAUCCCUUAGCCCUUAACAGACUGCAGUCCCUUCUCACAUCGGCAGUCUCUGCGUGUCCCUCUUCGGCAUGUUUAGCUCUGCCACGCUUCCUAGCUGUGCUGUAUUUCUGUUAUGUGUUGUUAUUAUUAUUUUUUUUUUCCCUGGAGGGCUAAACACAUAAAAGAGUCUUAAAAAUAAUGUCUAAAAAAAUCAAAAAAGGAUAUGCGAGAUGCAUGCUGGGAUAUAUUUGUUAGAGCUGCAGGGAACUGAUUGCUCGGAUCAAGCUCGGUCCACAGGUGUCGAAUCGGGCUGAUUCACCGUUCCGAGUGAAGCGAGUGCAGAAACAGCUGCUCGGGUUUGUGUGGAUCGCUGUUCUCCGCAGUCUGAAGAAACACAGCGACCAUCACAAACCCGAGCCGCUGUUUCGUCACUCCUUUCACUCGGAACGGCGGAUCAGCCCGAUGGACACCAACGACCCUCGCCCGAUUUCUGGGGACAGCUGGAUCCGGACAAAUUCGAAUGAUCGGUUCGUGCAACACCGAUAUUGAUCUCGUAUCAGCGAUUUAUAUUUGACGAUACGUUUACCGCAACAAAGAGUUAUCUCUGUGCCAGCCGUAACACUGAUAUAUAAUUGAUAAAUUGAUCAUAUACCCUAGCUGUAUUUUUUUUUUUUUUUGCAGUCGCAAUGCUACCCAGAUCCAAGCAGACAAUGUUGAACUUCAAUUUUGGUGAGGGGGAGAGUGUGUGCAAGAGCCCAGAUGGAUAUUUGGGGCCAAAACCACAAAGUAUUUACCCUCGGACUGGGGUGACCACAUGACUCCACGUUGACUGGGACAGUUCAGGCUUUUCAACUCGCAUCGCAGUGCAUUGUGGGAACCAGUACCUGUCUCGGGUUCUCCUUUCACGCGUUUAAGAGAAGCAGGACUACACUUACCAGAAUGCAUUGGGGUGCGAGUUCUAAAGCAUUUACUGUCUCUGUGAACACAGAGUCCUAUGGUAACUGCACAGUACUAAACACUGUUACACAACCAGAAGCAACAGCGGCUGCAGACUGUCAAUACAACUUAACUUGUGUACAUACUGUGAAUGCUUGUUUAAAAGUCAAAUAUCCUGCUAGAUAACCUAAAACAAUGGUCACGAAUUCCUAAUGAAUUCUGUCUGAAUGCCUCGGGAGUUCUGAAGUGAUUUUAAAUUCAGCCCCCCUGUUAAUUCAUCAUGUUCCUAAUCAAUUCACUGAUUGUUCUUCGUGAAUUCAUUAGCAGGGGACUGGGAGCGAGACGUGUUAAUUGACGCACGAAUGCGCGCCUUAUACAUGUGAUCAACGCCUUUGUUAUAAAAGAACAUGGAAUUAACAGGGGGCGAUUAAAUCGACUUGAAUGAACAGGGCUGAAUUCAAAAUGAAUGACUUCAGAACUGGGAUGACGUGCAGGGCUGCAAAUUCACAGGUGCCUGGUUCUGUACGCUCAGAGAAAACGACUUUGUAAUUAGUUUUUCCUUGUACUAAAAAUAAAAGAAUUAUUUGAAAAAAAGAAAGCACGUGGCUACUGCGGGAACGAAUUAAAUUUACAGUUAAACUCCACUGGAAAGAUUUUUAAGAGUUUGCUGCUAGUGAAUUACAUUGUGUAGUUAUACGGAUAGCUUCUGCUAAUGUGUUUUAUUAAACUUUUAAAAGUGACUUUUAUAACUUUUUUUUUUUUUAAUGUUUAACAAAAUGGAUCCACUUCGUUAGUUCCUCUUGCUGAGUCUUGACAGUACGACGGGGAAACAAAACCGGACCCGGGUGCUGGACUUCUCCUCCCGUCUGAUUCCGGAGAGGAUUGGUUCAGCCUGGUGUGAGGGGCGUGGCGAGCGCAGGGAAGCACAGGCUUCACUUGAGUUUGUUCACGGAAAAGCACAUUUCAGCAGAUUGUCGUUGUUGUUUUUUUUUAAAUGAAUAACUUUGUCUUGUCCCGAGUCUGUUUGUUUUGUGCUGGUUCAUAAAACACAUAGGAAAGUCACGUCCCCCGUUGGCAGCAGCUACACUUAUAACAUGGCUGGUAUCAUAAAUGAUCGUGCAAAUUGAACGAGGUAAACUUUUGUCUGCUCGGUAUUUCUCUUCAAGAAAGCAACACGAUUCAAAAGGAAGAGGCCUGGACAGAGUCUGAUUAAAAACAAGUGACUAUUUAUUAAUAA
Molecule: long non-coding RNA, 2971 nt
Organism: Acipenser ruthenus (sterlet)
Lineage: Eukaryota; Metazoa; Chordata; Actinopteri; Acipenseriformes; Acipenseridae
Exons: 3
Source: RefSeq, a predicted model, not a curated record